Long non-coding RNA from Vidua chalybeata, 431 nucleotides. RefSeq lists it as uncharacterized. The transcript is spliced from 2 exons. Lineage: Eukaryota; Metazoa; Chordata; Aves; Passeriformes; Viduidae. The record is from RefSeq and is a predicted model, not a curated record.
CAUUCCAUCCCAUGGAACACCCUGUGGAACAUCACAUUCCACCCAUGGAAGACCACAUUCCACCCAUGGAACAUCACAUUCCAUCCCAUGGAACAUCACAUUCCACCCCAUGGAACAUCACAUUCCACCCCAUGGAACAUCACAUUCCAUCCCAUGGAACAAACACCACAUCCCACCCCAUGGAAGAGCACAUCCCACCCCACAUCACUGGGAUACUGGUCCCAUAAUCCCCUUCCUCUCCAGUGGAAAUCCCAAUCCUCUCCCAACUGGGCAGGGGGUUGGAAUUCUGCUGGAACCCAGCAAGGGCAGGGGAGGGACCAGCCCUGGGGACAUCCAGCUGGAAACCCACUGGGUUUGGGACAGGACGGAAUUUGUGCCACGGAAUUGCAAUGCAGGACCGAAUGGAACUGAAUGAAGGAAUUUAAACAAUA